GACCGCGUAUGAAAGUACGUUUCACCUCGGGUGACAGGGAGACAGGUGGUGCAUGGUUGUCGUCAGCUCGUGUCGUGAGAUGUUGGGUUAAGUCCCGCAACGAGCGCAACCCCUACGUUUAGUUGCUAACGCGUGAAGGCGAGCACUCUAGACGAACUGCCGUUGACAAAACGGAGGAAGGUGGGAUGACGUCAAAUCAUCAUGCCCCUUAUGUUCUGGGCUACACACGUGCUACAAUGGCCGGUACAGACGGACGCAAAGCCGCGAGGUGGAGCAAAUCCUAAAAAGCCGGUCUCAGUUCGGAUUGCAGGCUGCAAUUCGCCUGCAUGAAGUCGGAAUCGCUAGUAAUCGCAGGUCAGCAUACUGCGGUGAAUACGUUCCCGGGCCUU
RNAcentral lists this ribosomal RNA (389 nucleotides) under uncultured Pelotomaculum sp. Its description in RNAcentral is "bacterial SSU rRNA". It matches the Rfam family "Bacterial small subunit ribosomal RNA", at positions 993 to 1382 of the family's 1533-position model. Lineage: Bacteria; Bacillati; Bacillota; Clostridia; Eubacteriales; Desulfotomaculaceae. The record is from RNAcentral.